UACGUAGGGGGCAAGCGUUAUCCGGAUUUACUGGGUGUAAAGGGAGCGUAGACGGCGAGACAAGUCUGAAGUGAAAGCCCGCGGCUUAACUGCGGGACUGCUUUGGAAACUGCCUGGCUAGAGUGCAGGAGAGGUAAGCGGAAUUCCUAGUGUAGCGGUGAAAUGCGUAGAUAUUAGGAGGAACACCAGUGGCGAAGGCGGCUUACUGGACUGUAACUGACGUUGAGGCUCGAAAGCGUGGGGAGCAAACAGG
RNAcentral lists this ribosomal RNA (253 nucleotides) under uncultured bacterium. RNAcentral's name for it is "partial 16S ribosomal RNA". It matches the Rfam family "Bacterial small subunit ribosomal RNA", at positions 524 to 776 of the family's 1533-position model. The record is from RNAcentral.